This 63-nucleotide transfer RNA is filed under the name Ictidomys tridecemlineatus (thirteen-lined ground squirrel). Its description in RNAcentral is "Spermophilus tridecemlineatus (thirteen-lined ground squirrel) tRNA". It matches the Rfam family "tRNA", at positions 5 to 66 of the family's 71-position model. From Rfam's summary of the family: Transfer RNA (tRNA) molecules are approximately 80 nucleotides in length. The record is from Rfam by way of RNAcentral. Lineage: Eukaryota; Metazoa; Chordata; Mammalia; Rodentia; Sciuridae.
AUGUAGCUCAGUGGUAGAGCACGUGUUUAGCAUGCGCCAGGCCCUGGGUUCAAUCCCCAGUGU